RNAcentral lists this transfer RNA (85 nucleotides) under Felis catus (domestic cat). It matches the Rfam family "tRNA". From Rfam's summary of the family: Transfer RNA (tRNA) molecules are approximately 80 nucleotides in length. Their secondary structure includes four short double-helical elements and three loops (D, anti-codon, and T loops). Further hydrogen bonds mediate the characteristic L-shaped molecular structure. tRNAs have two regions of fundamental functional importance: the anti-codon, which is responsible for specific mRNA codon recognition, and the 3' end, to which the tRNAs corresponding amino acid is attached (by aminoacyl-tRNA synthetases). tRNAs cope with the degeneracy of the genetic code in two manners: having more than one tRNA (with a specific anti-codon) for a particular amino acid; and 'wobble' base-pairing, i.e. permitting non-standard base-pairing at the 3rd anti-codon position. The record is from Rfam by way of RNAcentral. Lineage: Eukaryota; Metazoa; Chordata; Mammalia; Carnivora; Felidae.
ACCUGGGUGGCUCAGUCAGUUGAGCAUCCGACUUCGGCUCAGGUCAUGAUCUCCUGGUUUGCGGGUUCGAGCCCCGCAUCAGGCU